GCCCGGGUGGCGAAAUUGGCAGACGCGCAGCGUUCAGGGCGCUGUGGACGCAAGUUCAUGGGAGUUCAAAUCUCCCCCCGGGCA
Molecule: transfer RNA, 84 nt
Filed under: Patescibacteria group bacterium
Lineage: Bacteria
Description: tRNA-Leu
Rfam family: tRNA
About the family: Transfer RNA (tRNA) molecules are approximately 80 nucleotides in length.
Source: RNAcentral